Solanum verrucosum is the source of this 649-nucleotide long non-coding RNA. RefSeq lists it as uncharacterized. The record is from RefSeq and is a predicted model, not a curated record. The transcript is spliced from 3 exons. NCBI's taxonomy places the organism in Eukaryota, Viridiplantae, Streptophyta, Magnoliopsida, Solanales, Solanaceae.
ACAUUGGAGCCCGACUAAAUCCGGAUUCGCGCCGGGAAGUCCCACAUUGGGGGGGCAUGACAGUGAACCAUUUACUUUUCCCGAUGCUGAGGAUGAUGACAGAUCUGAUGAUUACUUGUUUUGUAGUCCAGGAUUUUCUUCACAUUUCCUGCGCUGGUCCUUAUCAUUGGAAGCAUCAGAAGGUGAAAAGUAAGCUUCCAUAGGAAUACCAGAAGGAAUUGUAACUUUUCCAAUCCUCCUCUCUCCAGUCAUGGGAGAAAUCUACAGCAGUUUAAAGUUUCUUUGGUGUUUAAUAUCUCAUGAAAAUUCUCAGUCUUAGAGGAGCCUUGAUAUGAAGAUGGAUCACCAGUAAAAUCUUAGAAAACAAAGAGUGGAGAAGCAGAAUCUGAAAUUGCUUUCACCAAAGCUUUCGACAUUGAUCUAUCACAUGGCUUUGCUCCUUUAAAGAAUCCCAUGUUAGUACUAUUUCCAGAAAAUAGAACACUAUGUAACAGGUUACUUCCAGAAGAUUGUCAUUAUCAACCUAAAAUCUUGUGAAGCUGUUUCUUUGAGCCAAUGUCACGUGCCUUGGAAGGAGAGGAAAGCAAAACCCAGGUUAGAUAACUUUUAUGGCCAUCCGCCCCAAGAGGGAAGCAGUAGCAAAUAGAAG